GCAGCCUUCAGUUUCCAAGCCAUAUCACCCAGAUCACUUCGUUGUUUUGCAUCCAACCACAAACACAUCUCUUGGAAGAAUCACCGACUCAGUUUCGUCAAUCCAGCCACACCCACCAAGACUAGCAAGGUGCGCAUGUCUUCCUCUAGGAACAAGGGCAAGCAAACUGCAACAGCCGAUCAAGAAAACCAUCAACACAGUCGACUGCGUUUUCUGAAGCCAAUAGUAAGGCUCGCCUGCUUCAAACUGUCCCUUCUAAUCGCUCCAAACGAACUUCCGAACUGGACCUUCCACAUAAACCUGGUGGACCCUGAUGGAAGGAAUGCCCGCUUUCGUUGCUUCUAGAAAGAACAGCAAAAUGGCAGCACCGCAUUGACUCGAGGUUGGCCACAUUUCUACCAUACAUACCAAAUAAAUUUAGACUCCUUUCUUCUUUUCAAGCACAAGGGUAACUCUGAGUUCCAAGUACGUAUCUUCGACUUCGGUGCUGCGAAAAUGCCUACCAGCCCCGACCGUCCGAAGAACCGCCGUAUGAAAAGAAAGGCACUUACCAGCGUGCCCGCUGUAUCAACAAUCCUUCGUCAGACAAGGCCAAAGGGAUAGCUCAAACGCACAAGACCAAAUGGCCCUUCUUUGUCAUAGACCUCACUAGCCGCGUCUUGUCCUCCCACUUGUUGGUAAGGCAACUUACAUACAACCUGUUCCUUUAAUACCAUUCUCCCACCCCCCUUGUUUACCUGCACCAAUUCAUUUUCUUGUACGUGUCUUCAUCAAUAAGUUUCUCUCUGUUAAUGAUCUGUUACUAUGCUACAACAGCCAAAUGUCCCUCAUCUGAGCCAUUUCACUGGUCAGAGGCACACACUCAUCCUAUCACACGACCACAUUGAGGUCGAGGCCACCUACACCAGAUUUAGUGACAGGCGAGACGGUAGCUUAGGAGUCAUUUCCAGAGGUUGGGCAAACUUUGCU
Molecule: non-coding RNA, 969 nt
Organism: Arachis ipaensis
Lineage: Eukaryota; Viridiplantae; Streptophyta; Magnoliopsida; Fabales; Fabaceae
Source: RefSeq, a predicted model, not a curated record